AACCCAUGCUGAGGACAUUUCCAUAGGAGAUCCUUUAACCUAUCCCAUGUCUCAAAGAGAGACUCCAAUUCCAUUUGAACAAAUAGAGGAUAUUUUAUUCCUAAGCUU
Small nucleolar RNA from Dioscorea cayenensis subsp. rotundata (Guinea yam), 108 nucleotides. Lineage: Eukaryota; Viridiplantae; Streptophyta; Magnoliopsida; Dioscoreales; Dioscoreaceae. The record is from RefSeq and is a predicted model, not a curated record.